CCUACGGGAGGCAGCAGUGGGGAAUUUUGGACAAUGGGCGCAAGCCUGAUCCAGCCAUGCCGCGUGCAGGAUGAAGGCCUUCGGGUUGUAAACUGCUUUUGUACGGAACGAAAAGACUCUUCCUAAUACGAGGGGUCCAUGACGGUACCGUAAGAAUAAGCACCGGCUAACUACGUGCCAGCAGCCGCGGUAAUACGUAGGGUGCAAGCGUUAAUCGGAAUUACUGGGCGUAAAGCGUGCGCAGGCGGUAAUGUAAGACAGAUGUGAAAUCCCCGGGCGUCAACCUGGGAACUGCAUUUGUGACUGCAUUGCUGGAGUGCGGCAGAGGGGGGAUGGAAUUCCGCGUGUAGCAGUGAAAUGCGUAGAUAUGCGGAGGAACACCGAUGGCGAAAGGCAAUCCCCUGGGCCUGCACUGACGCUCAUGCACGAAAGCGUGGGGAGCAAACAGGAUUAGAUACCCUGGUAGUCCACGCCCUAAACGAUGUCAACUGGUUGUUGGGGUCUUCAUGUACUCAGUAAGAAGACGAACGACGUGAGUAGUAACCGGCCGGGGACCGGGUUACGGCCGGCCGAGGUUAGGUAACGUUAACAAGUUAGAAGUUAGUUACGGCGUUGAGACGNGCGACGGACGACGACGAGGGAGGAGG
Molecule: ribosomal RNA, 647 nt
Filed under: uncultured bacterium
Lineage: Bacteria
Description: partial 16S ribosomal RNA
Rfam family: Bacterial small subunit ribosomal RNA (bases 1-549)
Source: RNAcentral